GGGUAGUUCAUUCCAGUAUUUUGCUGAUCUAUUAUAUAGUUGGUUGUGUCUUGGAAGACAAUUUGGAACAUAUUCACGUCUUAUUUUAAGAUGGUGACCACGUGACAAUUAGUUAAUAAAUUUUGGUUGAUAUAUAUUAUUAAUUAUAUUAAAUCGAUGUAUUAGUCUGAAAAUUUGGAUAAGAUCGCAUCGUAGGCGCCGAAACUCAAGUGAUGGUAGAUUGAAUCUUUCGUAGUAUUGAAAAUUUCUCAAGCUUAAAGCCCAUUUUGUAGCUUUACGUUAAACAGAUUUAGCAAAACUACGUCAGAUUUUAAAUACGGGGCCCAAGCAGACACUGAAUAUUCAAGAUUGGUUACACAAGACUUAUGAUGAAGGAAGCCAUGUUGAUUUGUAGAGAGCAGAUUGUUAUCGUUGAUGUGCUUUAAGAUUUUAUUCUUUAGAACUUUUUCAAAUAUUUUGCACCCAACCUAGGUUAGUGAAAUAGAUCGAUAGUUUUUCAGGAAGUAGUUUUCAUUUUUUAUGUCAGUAAAAAAGUCUAACAAGCUUGACAAUUUUU
Molecule: non-coding RNA, 556 nt
Organism: Hydra vulgaris (swiftwater hydra)
Lineage: Eukaryota; Metazoa; Cnidaria; Hydrozoa; Anthoathecata; Hydridae
Source: RefSeq, a predicted model, not a curated record